Molecule: long non-coding RNA, 401 nt
Organism: Danio rerio (zebrafish)
Lineage: Eukaryota; Metazoa; Chordata; Actinopteri; Cypriniformes; Danionidae
Source: Ensembl
CGUCAUAAGCCUGCGCCGCUCUCGCGCUGUGAUUCAACUGGAGAAAGGAUAAAGUGUCCAAACACAGAGAAAAACUCCUGCUGAAGCGACUGAUCUCCACACUGUUAUAAAGAUGGCGUUUAUUAAAGAGGAGAGUGAAGAUGUGAAGAUUGAAGAAACAUUCACAGUCAAACAGGAAGAUCUGCAGGAACAAACAGGUUGAAUUUCAUUCUCAAAGACCAACUCAGUCAUUUAUUCCUCAUUCAGAUAUAUUUUAAUAAUAAGAAUACUAAAUUAAAUCCAUCUUGCAGCCCUGAGUGUGCUGCCUAGUUCUCCUAAAUGCACAUAAGCACUCAUUGAAAGACAGGAAUGAGUUUCUUUCUUGUUGCUUGUUCUCAGGUCUUUUGUCAUUAUUUUAUGUA